Cyprinus carpio carpio is the source of this 2045-nucleotide long non-coding RNA. Lineage: Eukaryota; Metazoa; Chordata; Actinopteri; Cypriniformes; Cyprinidae. The record is from Ensembl.
UCCAAGGACCGGGGAUGGAGUCCCAAACCCCUGCUGUGGUGGAUGUCCUCGAGCUCGUCAGCGCUUUACGAGCCGCUCUUUCUCCGGUCACCAACCCAUAAAUCUGCCUCUGCCAGUCCCAUGGCCCUUCCUGCUCCUUUCUCGGGUGAGGAGGUUGAAUGUGAUGUUUUUUUGCUUCAGAUUUCUCUCUUUAUUGAGAUGCAGCCCCAGAAGUUCAUCAUGGAGUAGUCUAAGGUGGCCUUUCUCAUCUCUCUGCUUAUGGGACGGGUAUUGCUCUGGGCACAAGCCAUCUGGGACUCUCAGAGCGGCUUAAUUAACUCUUUAGAUGCCUUCUCAGCCCACUUUAAGGAAGUCUUCGGCCAGUCCACCGGCUAUCUGUCCAUCACCGAACAGCUUAUUCACCUCCAUUAGGGCAUGUUUUUGGCAGAUGUUUAUACUCUGCAGUUCCACACCCUGGUGGUCUAGCGGAUGGAAUGAGGCGGCGCUGCUGACGACCUACCGACAGGGUUUAGACCCCCACAUCCGUUUUCAUGAUGACCAUCUAUGACGACACUGUUGACAAAAGGCAGUGAAAAUUUCUCAGCACCUCACCGCCUGCCAGCCCAACGAAACAGCUCAUUCCCCAGCCUCACCCGCAGCCUGUCCUCCAGUACCAGAACCGAUGCAAGUAGAAACCUAUCGUCUCUCACGAGUGGAGCGUGCUCGACGUCCCGCCAUGGGACUGUGUGUCUAAUGUGGAGCUUCAGGGCACUUCAUUAAGACGUGCCCUUCUCGUCCCCCAUGCCCAGUGUAUCCACCCUUGUUGACUCGGGCUUCUCAGGAAACUUCAUUUCCCAACCCCUCCUAAAGUGUCUCAACCUACCUUGAAGGAGGCAGGCCCAGUAGCUCAGGAUUGAAAUGAUCCAAGGGAAACCGCUUGGGUUUGGGCGCAUCAAGUACUGAUCACCUCAUGUAUCCCUACAAGUGGGAUGUUUCCACAAGGAGACAAUUUCCUUUCUUGUACUGGAGGGAACCUACAUGGACAUCAUCCUGGGACACCCAUGGAGUUAUGGAGUUAUCACAACACUUUCCCGAGGUCAGAUGGGAUUCCAGCGAGAUCCUCCGAUGGAGCGAGACCUGUUUCCAAAAUUGUCUCUCCAACGUUCUGUCGCCCCCUGAGAAAACCCCCAGUCUCCAACUUAACUCCAACCUUGUGGAGAGCCCUGAAUGCUUGGAGAGCCCUGCAAUCCCAUCUGACUAUGUGGCAUUCCAGGACUUUAGCAAACAGGCAGCGACCAAGUUACCACCUCAUCAGCCAUGGGACUGUGCCAUUGACCUGUUGCCUGGAGCCCAUCUCCCCAAGGGUCCCCUUGUCCAUCCUGGAGUGCAAUGCAAUGGAGGAUUACAUCAAGGAGGCUCUCCAACAACGGUUUAUUUGCCCUUCCACCUCACCAGCCACCUCAAGCUUCUUCUACGUGGGCAAGAAGGAUAAAGGUUUGUGACCCUAAAUUGAUUACCAGGCCCUGAAUGGACACACUGUCAAGCUCCCCUAUCCACUUCCUCUGGUCCCGGCCUGAACUCCGCGGGGCCCACAUCUUCUCGAAGCUGGACCUGCGGAGUGCUUCUAACCUCAUUCGAAUCGGGUCUCCCCUGUCAGGAGCCACCCCUGGAGGAGGGGAUACUGUCAGGAAGUCACAGUCACCACAGUCACCUCCAACUACGCUCACCAGAUCCCAAUCCCCUGAUUAUUGAUCACCAGCACCUGUCUCCACUCAUCAAGAGCAUUAUAUCCUUGCACUCCUCCCGCACCUUCUUUGUAUGGUCUCAAACAUUGUAUGUUUAAUUACCUGACCCUAUAUACCUGCAAUCACCUACCUGCUAGUUGCUUCAGCGUUCUGCUCUCUGUUCUCCUCCACUACAGUGCUCCAUCAUCUCCAUGUCCUUCUGUUCCCCUGGUAUCCCCUGGAAAAGAAAAAGGACUCAGUUACUCACAGAUAAGACCUGCUAACCUUUGCUACUCCCCAAAUUCACACCUGGACUCUUUGCCUUGCUUUCUUCAACCUGCC